This is a long non-coding RNA of Helianthus annuus (common sunflower), 2715 nucleotides long. RefSeq lists it as uncharacterized. Lineage: Eukaryota; Viridiplantae; Streptophyta; Magnoliopsida; Asterales; Asteraceae. The transcript is spliced from 2 exons. The record is from RefSeq and is a predicted model, not a curated record.
CCAUAUCCCAAAAUUUUUAGAUUUCCCACCCAUUGUGAAAUUCACGCCCAAUAAGGUGUAUGCUGAGUAGGGGCGGUGGAACUGGUUCCAGAACGUGGAAGGCAUCUUCAUAAAAAAAUCGAAGGAAUCGUUGUAAUUUUCACAUGAAGUUCGCUUUGAGAGUCGCAAUUAAAUGAUUGCGUCAAUCUUUACUCUUCUCGUGGGUGGAACAUUAUUACUGUUUCCAAUUUUCUCAAUCUGUAAGUUCAUCUCUACUCAAUUACCAUUUUACUUGUAAUACAUAAAGGGGUUUUGAUAAUUAACCCAUGAAAAAGCUUCGUAGGUAUGACAAAGAUGAUUUGAUGGUGUAGACUGAUUUGAAUGAUAAUAUAUGUUAAUAAUGUUCAUUGUUCAAAGUUAUAAAGCGUGAUUCUGGAUAUAUUCCUAAGGACCUUACAAUGGAUCUUUUUUUUUUUUUUAAUUUGGUUAAUUUGAAUUUGUGUUUACAUGUUGUUCAAGUCCUAUAGUUAGGGUUUCCCAACAUGGCUUUCUUUUGCUUCCGAAUUCUGAACCAAACGAGCCAAUGAAAUUCUAUCAUUUGUUCACAAUGAAUGCGAUCAAUCAUAAUGAAAUCUUGUAAUGGUGUUCUUCAUCCACCAUCUCCGCUUCGGUUCCAAACAAGGUUGGGGGGGGGGGGGUAGACAACUAACCAACUUCUAGUUUGCGAAUUAUUUUCUAAAAAGGAUUGACCUGAUUCUCAAUUUGCUUGUAUUUUUUCCCUUUUAUUAUGUAUGUCAGAAAUUAAUUUGAUUUGCUUUGCUUUGCUUUGCUUUGCUUUGAGUUGAAUGAAAUCGAAAUUAUGAUGCCUUUUAAUAUUAUGCACAUUGAUGAAACAAAUUGAACCAAAUAAUAUGCAUACUGAUGUAUUGAUGGAUAGUAAAUUGUUUGUUCUGUUUUUAUGCAAUUACGAACUUGUGGAUUCGACGGAAGAAUGUGCAUCUGUUUUUUUUCUUUCAACCUCUACUUUAAUUUUGUUUGGUGAUCCCAUUAGUGUGUUUAUGUACAAUGAUCAAACUAGUUUGCUCAUGUUAUUUUUGCAAACAUUACUUGUUUAAUUUGAUAUCAUAUCAUAUCGAUUUACAGUCUAAAAUAUUAGCUUUUUGUUUUUGGCAUUGCACUUUGAAAAUGAUGAUCUGAUCGAAUGUGUUACUAAGAAGCAGAUGAAGGUUUUUAGGUUUCUUCGAUCUAAUUCAUAGCAUUACGUGUUUCUGUUCGUUUUUAAUGUGAUUACUGAUUGAUUUCGUGUUAGUUUGAGUUUUAAAUGAAGUUUUGUUACUACAAGUUCGUUCAAAUCCUUUGCUUUCAAAAUUUUCAUUUAUCAAUGGUAGUAUGUGUUUCCAUGGAUUUUUAAUAUGCUUACUAGUUGAUUUUUUGCUUGUUUGUGUUUUAGAUGCUGUUUUUAGGUUUAUUACUGUAAGUUCUUCCAGAUCUUUCCAUUUCGUGUGUUUAUUAUUAUUUUUUUUUCUGUAUAUAUUUUUAUUUCAUUCCAAUCAUCACGUUUUACUAUUACGCUACUUUUUAAUCGAUAAUAUUAGUAUUAUGCGUUUCUGUCUGUUUAUAAUUUGAUUACUGGUUAAUUUUGUGCGUAAAAGAGUUUUAGAUGCAGUUUUUUAGGUUUAAUUACUGUAAGUUCAUCCAGAUUCUUCAAUUUCAUCAUUUUUUUUAGAUUUGAUGUUAUUGUGGUACUUGUUUUUUUAUUUCUGUUUGUUUUUAAUGUAAUUACUGGUUACUUUUGUGUCCGUUUGAGUUUUGGAUUAAGUUUUAUUAGGUUUUAUUGUGUUUUUUUUUCCGGCUAGAUCUGUUUCACCGAUUUACUCUUUGGAGUCAUGUGUAAUUGUUAAUUGCUUCCAUUGAAUUUAAGGAAUAUUUUGUUGUGACAGAAGCUUACAUGCAUGAGAGAUUAUUUGCAAAGUUCACAUGGAUGAUAUGUUUGAUAUGUUAGUUUUCAUGAUUUUUUGGUGUAGUUGGAGAGUGUGUUUGAAAUGGCUUUGUGAUCUAUUGUGGGGACAGAUUCUUUGUAAAGCUGGUCGAAGAAUGUUGGCAGAUCCUCCUGCCUUCCGGUGUUGACCAGUUUUAAUUUAUAAAACGUGAGUUUUUAAAAGGAAAACUUAUAUAGAAUUCUGCAAAUUAUCAUUUGUAGAGUAGAAAUAAAAACUAAAAGUUAUGACCCGUGAAGCAUGCUGGUUCCGUUUCAUUUUAAUCGCUAAAAAGAAAAGAAAAGGUUGCUCAAGUGUGCUUGAAUUAGUGUUCCUGAACUUUACAAUAUCACGUUAUUACUUUCAAAAAGACAUAGGUAGGCUAGAGGCGUUGACAUACUUUAUCCCAAAAUGUAAAACCAUAUCAACUUUUUUAAUCUGAGAAGUCAAAACCAAAUAUUACAGAUGGAACAUGUUAAUUUUUACCUUCUGGACUUGCACUAACUACUUUGUUAAAAGAUAUGUAUUUGUUAAACUUGUGAUAAGACCAUAUGGUUUAUUUUCUACAAUUCAAGAUUGUAUUGGUGCAUCUAUCGCAUGGCCCUAUCCAUUCAUCUCGGUAGUCCAUGAGAAUUGAGGACGCAUGAUAACUCAAGAUUUUAUGCUUCUUAUUUCUUUAAAUGCUUUUAAUUUCUUUGUUAAAUGUUCAGACUUUGUAUUAGAUAAUGUUAUAACUUAUUUAUGCUUAGUGUUUUUGUUA